Molecule: unclassified non-coding RNA, 318 nt
Filed under: uncultured fungus
Lineage: Eukaryota; Fungi
Description: partial contains 5.8S ribosomal RNA, internal transcribed spacer 2, and large subunit ribosomal RNA
Source: RNAcentral
AACGCAAAUUGCACUCUCCGGUUUUCCGGGAGAGUAUGCCUGUUUGAGGGUCAGCCUAAAAUACAUCGACAUUGUUGCUGGUUGCUGUUGCUUCAUGGUGACUUUUGUCGGAGAUUGGGUCAUCUUAAACCUCGGUUUAAGCGACUUAAAAUUUUUUCUUUACGAUUCCGUGAACGUUUCUAAGAUUUUUUAUAUUCUUAUACGUUUAAGGUUAUCGAACCAAUUUUUUAAUAUUAGACGUGGCCGUCGCAUCGGAUCGCGUCUAUAAUGACUUUCGUUAACUGACCUCAGACAGGUAAGAGUACCCGCUGAACUUAA